This is an RNA transcript of Pistacia vera, 7366 nucleotides long. It is a transcript of the gene named helicase and polymerase-containing protein TEBICHI, with no coding region annotated. NCBI's taxonomy places the organism in Eukaryota, Viridiplantae, Streptophyta, Magnoliopsida, Sapindales, Anacardiaceae. The record is from RefSeq and is a predicted model, not a curated record. The transcript has 29 exons.
UGAAUUGAUUCAAACGUAUUUGAAACAUUGCAUCCAGGUCCCCAAGAAAUAGAAAGAACUAGGGGCUCGCAGAUCUCCUUUUGACCUCUUCUGUCUCUAGUGAUGGCGUCUGGUUCGCCUCGUAAGCGUAUCGAUCAGUUUUUUGCUUCAAAGAAGAGAAAAUCAUUAUCACCUGGUUUGAAGAGUGGGAAAGUUGAGAAAGAUGCAAAAUUAGCCAUUGAAGGGUCUCCUAGUGGCAAAGGAACUUUGGACAAUUAUUUGAGAACUUCACAGGAGGAUAAUCAAACUACCAAGCCUUCACAGGGAGCUAAAGAUUUGUUGGCUAAGCUAGAGCCAGUUAAAAGAAAUUUAUCAUUGGAGAUAAAUAAAUUCUCCAAAGAUGAAAGUAAACAGCCCCUGUUAUCAGCUCAAGUGCAACCUGAAGCUUUUGAAGUAUUUAAAAGCAUUCAGAAGGUGACUACUCAGGUUUCAUCUGAGGGGGGCUGUGAUAGUCUCAUUAAUGAUUGCUCAGUUUCUGCUCAUGUCACAGAAAAUUCAGAUUUGAAACAGUUCGCAAAUAACUUUCUAUCUUUGUAUUGCAGUGAACUCCAUACAAGUGUAAGUUCAACAUCAAAGGUAAAGGUGAAAGACCAUAAGAGACAUGGUAGUCCAUCAUUAAUAGAUAAGGAGGAAAAGAUACCCAAGAAGAAGCAUUGCAAUUCCAAUCAGUCACAAUCAGGAGGUGAAACCACACAUUCUAAUGCAAAGAAUCCUGAAGAAACACAAUGUGGUUUAAUUGUUAAAAAUGAAAUGUUUGUUUCACGUUCUUCCCAAGAGAUGAUGGAUUGUGAUGGUCCCGUUGCGCUUCAAUCAAGCUUGAAAAAAUGCAACAAUUCAUUCAAAUCAACUUUGAAUUCAACAACUUGCUGUACACCUGGAUCAUCAAUUAUUAAAACAUAUGUUCGUGGAACCCCCAAAUCAACAUGUGGAAGCUCCAUAUUUUCUCCUGGAGAAGCUUUCUGGAAUGAAGCAAUUCAAGUUGCUGAUGAUUUGUUUGCUCAACCUGAUAACCUUCCUGCUCAAGCUGACGAAGGGAUCAAUUAUGCUAAAAGCCAGAAUGAGAUAAAUAAUUCUCACAAUUUAAGAAACAAAAAUUGUGACAAGUUAAUGUUGGACGAAGGUGGGAGCAAAUUUUGGCAUGCAACCUAUGAUAGGGCCAGAGAUUCUUUAAAGGCAAUGGAGCAUAUGAAAGAUUCAGAUAAAGAAGCAUCCCCACUACCUGUUAAGCAUUUUGACUUUUUGUGUGAGGACAAAAACUUGGAUGGGGGCACCCCAGGUCAUGUUGCUGCAGAUAGCUCAGAAACUAGGAUGCAUCGAGUCAGUGAAGUAUCUGAAAAGGGCUCUGUAAAUCGCAUAGGGUUUCAAACAAUGAAAAUUAUAACUCAUUAUGACCAAGCUCAGAAAAUUGAAGUGAUGACUGAAGUACAAGCGAAGGUUUCUGUUCAUAUGUUACAAAAAAGAAAAGUGGAUUCAUCAAGUCAAGAUAAUGUUAGUAUCACAUUGGAAUCACCUGAUAAUGAAAUCAAGAAAUUAAUUGGUACUAACGAAUCCAAUGAAGAAUCUACUCCUUCAAGUUAUGUGAUGCAUAAAGACUGUUUAAAGCUUACCAGUUGGCUUCCUUCAGAAAUAUGUAGCAUAUAUGAAAAGAGAGGAAUUUCAAAACUAUAUCCAUGGCAGGUUGACUGCCUUCAGGUGGAUGGUGUUUUGCAGAGGAGGAAUCUUGUCUAUUGUGCAUCAACAAGUGCUGGAAAAAGUUUUGUUGCAGAAAUUUUAAUGUUACGGCGGGUAAUCUCAACUGAGAAAAUGGCAUUACUUGUGCUUCCUUACGUAUCAAUUUGUGCAGAAAAGGCAGAACAUCUGGAAGUCCUUCUUGAACCACUUGGUAAGCAUGUGCGUAGUUAUUAUGGAAACCAGGGUGGUGGAGCACUUCCUCAAGAUACUUCUGUAGCUGUAUGCACUAUAGAGAAGGCAAACUCUUUAAUCAAUAGACUGCUGGAAGAGGGUCGUUUGUCAGAAAUUGGAAUUAUUGUGAUAGAUGAACUGCACAUGGUUGCCGAUCAGACUAGAGGUUAUCUUUUGGAAUUGCUGUUAACAAAGCUUCGUUAUGCGGCUGGUGAAGGAGUUUCAGAGUCAAGUAGUGGAGAAAGUUCAGGUAUGAGCAGUGGGAAGGUUGACUCUGCUCAUGGUCUGCAAAUUGUUGGGAUGAGUGCUACCAUGCCUAAUUUGGCAGCGGUUGCUGACUGGCUGCAAGCAGCAUUAUAUGAAACAGAUUUUCGACCUGUUCCAUUAGAGGAAUACAUUAAAGUUGGUAACACCAUUUAUAAUAAGAAUUUCGACAUUAUUAGAACAGUUCCAACCGCAGCUGACCUUGGUGGGAAAGAUCCAGAUCAUAUUAUUGAACUCUGCAAUGAGGUUGUUCAAGAGGGUCAUUCGGUAUUAAUAUUUUGCUCUAGCCGAAAAGGAUGUGAAUCAACUGCAAGGCAUGUCUCAAAGUUCCUCAAGAAAUGUUCUAUCAGUGUCCACAGUCGUGAUGGAGAGUUUGCUGAUAUUACUUCAGCUAUUGAUGCCUUGCGAAGGUGUCCUGCUGGAGUGGAUCCUAUAUUAGAAGAAACUCUUCCUUCUGGUGUUGCUUAUCACCAUGCUGGACUCACAGUUGAAGAAAGAGAGAUUGUUGAAACCUGCUAUCGUAAAGGGCUUGUACGUGUCUUAACUGCUACAUCUACCUUAGCUGCUGGAGUUAAUCUGCCUGCCAGGAGAGUCAUUUUUCGGCAACCCAGGAUUGGCCGUGAUUUCAUUGAUGGGACAAGGUACAAGCAGAUGGCUGGUCGGGCAGGUCGGACUGGAAUAGAUACAAAAGGAGAAAGUGUUCUUAUUUGCAAAGCAGAAGAGGUCAAAAGAAUUAUUGGACUUCUUAAUGAAAGCUGCCCACCAUUGCAUUCUUGUUUAUCUGAAGAUAAGAAUGGAAUGAUUCAUGCAAUUUUAGAAGUUGUGGCUGGUGGGAUUGUUCAAACUGCUGAAGAUGUUCAUAGAUAUGUUAAAUGCACUCUUCUCAAUUCUACAAAACCAUUUCAAGAUGUGGUAAAAUCAGCACAGGACUCUCUUCGGUGGUUGUGCCACGGAAAGUUUCUUGAGUGGAAUGAGGAUACUAAGUUGUACAGUACUACACCUCUCGGACGUGCAGCUUUUGGCAGUUCUCUUUGCCCAGAAGAAUCACUUACCGUGUUGGAUGAUCUUUCAAGGGCAAGAGAAGGGUUUGUACUUGCAACAGAUUUGCAUUUAGUUUAUCUAGUGACACCGAUUAAUGUUGAAGUUGAACCAGAUUGGGAAUUAUAUUAUGAGCUGUACAUGGAGUUGUCAGCCCUUGACCAGUCAGUUGGCAAUCGAGUGGGAGUAGCAGAACCAUUUUUAAUGCGAAUGGCACAUGGUGCACCUAUACGCACAUCAAGCAGAUCAAGAGAUGGUAGCAAAGGGUUGCAUGCCAAAUCUGAUUACAGACAUGGGAUCACCAACAGUAGUAUGCUUUCAGAGGAGCAGACAAUUAGAGUGUGUAGACGAUUUUAUGUUGCCCUCAUCCUGUCAAGAUUAGUGCAGGAAACUCCUGUGCUUGAGGUUUGUGAAGCUUUUAAAGUGGCCAGAGGUAUGGUUCAAGCUUUGCAAGAGAAUGCAGGAAGGUUUGCAUCUAUGGUUUCUGUGUUCUGUGAGAGGCUUGGAUGGCACGAUCUAGAAGGCUUGGUUGCGAAGUUCCAGAAUCGUGUUUCAUUUGGAGUGAGGGCCGAGAUUGUAGAACUUACUACGAUUCCUUAUGUGAAGGGUUCUCGAGCAAGAGCACUCUAUAAAGCUGGCUUACGUACACCUCUGGCAAUUGCUGAAGCAACCGUUCCUGAAAUUGUCAAAGCUCUUUUUGAAUCUUCAUCAUGGGUAGCACAAGAAGGUUCAGCACAAAGACGCAUACAGUUGGGAGUCGCGAAGAAGAUAAAAAAUGGUGCACGCAAAAUUGUUCUUGAAAAAGCUGAAGAGGCCAGGAUUGCUGCCUUCUCAGCUUUCAAAUCUCUUGGGUUAGAUGUCCCACAGUUUUCUCGACCAUUAUUAUUGACUACUGGUGAUAAUCCCACUAGGCAAGAAGAAGCAACUACCUUCUUUAGGGAUUAUACUUCUAGCAGCUUUGUUGAUCCAAUAAAAACAAACAUGGUUUUGGCUAAGCCACAUAAAGAAGCAGAUGAGAACAUGGAAAAAGUUGCUCUGGAAAAUGCAGGGGAAACUUUGAGAAAAACUUCAGAUGGUGGUUUAGUGGCUUCAGUGGAAGUACACUCAACUACUGCCUUGCAACAUAACUUUGUUACUGAAAAUCUAGAAGUACCAACUGUAGGAUCAGGAAUUGGAGGUGUUAAGUGUAACGCUAAUGUUGAGCAAAUAAAAAAUGCAGAUACAACUCUCUCUAUUCGGCCAGAAAAAAAUGGUAUUGGAAACAUAACACCUAGUGGUCAUCUUGAUAAAUUACAAGAUCGGCCCAGUCAAGGUCUGUGUCUUUUCAAGGACAGUGCUUGGACGAAGGGUCCUAUUAAUGCAACAAAUACUCCUGGAGGAUUUAAUCAUUUUUUGGAUAUCUGGGAAGCCACCCAGGAAUUCUAUUUUGAUAUCCACUAUAACAAACAAUCAAAAGUAAAUCAUGGUGCUCUCUUUGAGAUAUAUGGCAUCGCAAUCUGUUGGGAGAAUUCUCCUGUGUAUUAUGUCAAUCUUCCUAAGGAUCUGUUGUCAUCUGGCAGCAAAAGAAAUGAUGGCUUGGUUAUUUCUGGAUCUGAUGAUAAGAGUGAUUCUCUACCUCCUGAGCGUCAGUUAGAGAUAAUGAAGCAAAGAUGGAAAAGAAUUGGUGUGAUUAUGGAAAAAAGAGAUGUUAGAAAAUUUACUUGGAAUUUGAAAGUUCAGAAUCAGGUGCUUAAGUGUGCUGCAGUUUCCGCUCAGAGAUUUGGUUGCCGGAAUCUUGUGGGGAAAAGUUUAGGACUUGAACUCAUCGACAGCCUGUACUCGUUAUCUCCGAUUUAUGUCAAAGAUGGAAUUGACUUGUGCAUUGUGGCUUGGAUUCUUUGGCCUGAUGAGGAGAGAAGCUCUAAUCCAAACCUGGAGAAGGAAGUUAAGAAAAGAUUAUCCACUGAGGCUGCAGCAGCAGCUAAUAGAAGUGGUCAGUGGAAGAAUCAGAUGCGGAGAGCUGCACAUAAUGGUUGCUGCCGCCGGGUUGCUCAGACACGUGCCCUAUGUUCUGUUCUCUGGAAGUUGCUUGUUUCUGAAGGACUUGUUGAAGCGCUUAUGAACAUUGAAAUUCCAUUGGUCAAUGUCCUUGCUGACAUGGAGCUUUGGGGAAUAGGUGUCAACAUGGAAGGGUGUCUUCAGGCCCGUAAUUUGUUGCAGAAAAAGCUUAGGUAUCUUGAGAAGGAAGCUUAUAAAUUGGCUGGCAUAAAAUUUUCAUUAUAUACAGCAGCAGAUAUUGCAAAUGUCCUGUAUGGACACUUGAAGCUGCCAAUACCUGAAGGGCACAACAAAGGGAAACAACAUCCUAGUACUGACAAGCAUUGUUUGGAUCUUUUAAGGCAUGAGCAUCCUAUUAUUCCAGUAAUUAAAGAGCAUCGAACAUUGGCAAAGCUCUUAAACUGUACACUGGGAUCAAUGUGCACACUAGCUAGGCUAUCUACAAGUGGGCAAAAAUACACACUACACGGUCAUUGGCUCCAAACAUCAACAGCUACUGGUCGACUUUCAAUGGAGGAACCUAAUCUUCAGUGUGUUGAGAAUAUGGUUGAAGUCAAAAUAAAUGAUAAGGAUAAAUGUGAAGACAAUUUAGAUGCUGAUCACUACAAAAUUAAUGCUCGUGAUUUUUUUGUUCCCACCCAGGAGAACUGGUUAUUAUUAACAGCAGAUUAUUCUCAGAUAGAAUUGCGGCUCAUGGCACACUUUUCUAAAGAUUCCGCUCUGAUAGACCUCCUUAGUAAGCCAAAAGGUGAUGUUUUUACCAUGAUCGCAGCAAGAUGGACUGGAAAGCCAGAAGAUUCUAUUGGCUUGCAUGAGCGAGAACAGACCAAAAGGUUGAUCUAUGGCAUUCUGUAUGGAAUGGGUCCUAAUACUCUUUCAGAGCAACUAAAUUGCUGUUCAGAUGAAGCUAAAGAAAAAAUUAAAAGCUUCAAAAGUUCUUUUCCUGGUGUUGCAGCCUGGCUUCAUGAAGCAGUUUCAUCUUGCCAGCAAAAAGGAUAUGUGGAAACCCUAAAAGGAAGAAAGCGGUUCUUGUCAAAAAUCAAAUUUGGAAAUUGUAAAGAAAGAUCUAAGGCUCAGAGGCAAGCAGUGAAUUCUAUUUGUCAGGGAUCAGCUGCUGACAUUAUCAAGAUUGCAAUGAUAAAUAUCCACUCUGUCAUUGUUGAAGGAGUUUAUAGGUCAGAAACUACCUCUGCAGCUGCAACUAAGUUUCAGAUGCUGAAGCAUCGCUGCCGAGUUCUUUUACAGGUACAUGAUGAGUUAGUAUUAGAAGUUGACUCAACUGUGGUUAAGGAAGCUGCAUUGUUGCUACGAAAGUGCAUGGAAAGUGCUGCCAUGCUUCUUGUUCCUUUGCAUGCCAAACUCAAAGUUGGAAGAACAUGGGGUUCUUUGGAACCUAUUCAAGCUGAUAAAGGUGCAGAUAUUGUGCCUGAUUUAUAGAAGAAGAGUCUUUAUUCUUGAUCGAAAAGGUGCUUGAUGACUAUGGAGAGUAGAUUGAAACUAAUGUACAUAAUGUUUGAUUGAUGGGUUAAAUCUCUAACAGUGGUAUCAGUAAAUUGUCUUACCGCCAAAGUUCACUGUUUCCCUCAAGUACACACCUUUUACAAUGAUAUACAGCAAGGAUUCCGACAAAUCUAAAAGGAAGUUAACCCUGAAUAUUGUGAUUGCUACUGCAAAUGCUGGUGGCCUAUCACGCUUAAUUUUGUUUCAACAAUGUGACAUGCUUUCUGAUUGCUGGAUUCGGCAAGCAUAGCGGAGUGUUUGAGACAAGCAUCCAUACAGUUGCAGUUGUUCGGUUUCAAACAACUGGAGAUGUGGAAAAAAUUGAGGGCUCGAUGUCAGUUACAAUAUUCUGCAUUUCUACUUAUGCGCCAUUAAGCUUACCAACCAGAAUGAUCUGGUGGGUGUGCAGGUGGUUACACUGGCCAUCAGUUAUGGCCCACCUUCCAGUCUUAUCUGUGGGGUUACUGACUUGCUUUUAAGGAAGCUGCAGAAGAUUCAAACUAAUCAGUGAGUAUGAAUUUAAUCAUAAGUAGAUUUUUCGUAAACAAAACUGCAGCAAACUUUAUAAGUACAUGCAUACCGAAGG